UACAGAGGAGCUCUCCAAAGACCUUACC
This 28-nucleotide unclassified non-coding RNA is filed under the name Mus musculus (house mouse). RNAcentral describes it as "oocyte_clustered_small_RNA12156". The record is from RNAcentral. Lineage: Eukaryota; Metazoa; Chordata; Mammalia; Rodentia; Muridae.